UGGGGAAUAUUGGACAAUGGGGGCAACCCUGAUCCAGCAAUGCCGCGUGUGUGAAGAAGGCCUGAGGGUUGUAAAGCACUUUCGGUGGGGAGGAAAGGCUGCUUAUGAAUAAUAAGUAGAGUUGACGUUACCCACAUAAGAAGCACCGGCUAACUCUGUGCCAGCAGCCGCGGUAAUACAGAGGGUGCAAGCGUUAAUCGGAAUUACUGGGCGUAAAGGGCUCGUAGGUGGAUAGUUAAGAUGGAUGUGAAAGCCCCGGGCUCAACCUGGGAAAGUCAUUCAAGACUGGCUGUCCAGAGUAUGGUAGAGGGAAGUGGAAUUUCCGGUGUAGCGGUGAAAUGCUUAGAUAUCGUCAAGAACACCGAUAGCGAAGGCAGCUUACUAGACUGUAACUGACGCUGAGGCACGAAAGUGUGGGGAUCAAACAGGAUUAGAUACCCCCGUAGUCCCUGAGCGGGCUGGCAAGGCGCAU
Molecule: ribosomal RNA, 472 nt
Filed under: uncultured bacterium
Lineage: Bacteria
Description: bacterial SSU rRNA
Rfam family: Bacterial small subunit ribosomal RNA
Source: RNAcentral